AGGGGCCUUGGUGACCAUUUGGACCCUAACAGCUGCUCAGACUGAAGCAAUAUCUGAGAGCUACUGCCUAGGUCCAUCCUUGUGAGUCAACAUAUUUGGAGCAGAGGCAAACCUGCCACCAACUACAAGAACAUUGAGAACCUACUUAGAGCAGGGAAGAAGGGAAUCAGGUGGUUUUAAGGACCUUGCCAAGGGUUGUUAAGUUUGCUAAUCAUGAAACGCCAUUAUGUUGAUACUGGGAAUGAGAAGGAUCUGCCCUACAGCAAGGCUCCAUGCCAACCUGCCGAGGAAUUGGAUGAUGUGAACUGGGUACCUUUGUGGAAGCAGGCAGGAGAUGUGAAGGAAGAAGAAUGUGCACCCGUCCCUGGACCUUCAAUAAGCAUAGCCCAAGAUGCUGGCUUAGAGUUCAAGGCUCACAGUCAGCAGGGGAGGAGUAGAACUCUCUCAGCCUACCAGUCUUGUUCACAGUAUUACUCUUGCUUCUCUUCAAUAACCAACCCAGAGGAGAACAAGUCUCAGCAAAACACGUAUGCCUUUUACACCCGGGUGCAGACGGUUCGGGGUGUGGCUGUGGCCUGGGAGACAGAGUCUGGGUUUGAGCCAAUUGGUAUUAGGCCUCGGGUAAGGGAGGCUGAAUUCCCUGAGAGGCAGAGGAGGGCCGGCUCUCCCCUUGAAAGUAUUUCUACUAGUGACAUGGUCAGUGAAAUUGAUCCUUGGGAGGGAGAUGCCUUUCAGGAAUUUGAAGAGUCUGAGACACCAGUCCCAUCAGAUUGUACCCAAGAGAUGAGGGAAACGCCUGACUGGCUGAUCACCACAAACUAUGGCCUCCGCUGCUUGGCCUGUUGCAGGAUCUUUCCCAACUUGGAAGGCCUCUUACACCAUGCCCAGCACGGGAUCAAGGAGGGCUUCAGCUGUCACAUUUUCUACCGGGAAAUGCUUCAGAGAAGACAGUUUCAGAAUCAACUACUGCAUCAAGCGCCAGAGGACCAGGAUCAGGGCCAGGCCCAUAGUAGUGAGCCAAGCAGGUGCCAUAUAAUGCUGUUUGGGUCUCAAAGAGAUAAGCACUUAUCAGGAACAACAGCAAAUGAGCAGUGUUCUAGGAAGUCCUAUGUCAUCUCCAAGGGAAUGGAUCAGCAGAGAGAUCGAGAACAGAGCUAAGAAAAACAGAAUGAAGCAAGAAGUCAAGAGAAGAUUUUUGCUACCACGAAAAAAUGAUGUCACGAACAUUUUGAUACAUAUGGGGCCACUCUGUCUUUGACCUUCUUAAGAAUGGUUGACCUAAUCCAUAAGUCAUGAAGAUAGGAGGUGAAUUAUUGUAUGUGAACAACAACAAGGAGGUCAUUUUGGCUUAACCAUAGAGCACAGGAAGGGGUCUAAUCAACAAGCACUUGUUUAUUAAGCACCUGCUGUGUAUCAUGCAUUAUGCUACGUGCUGUGAUUACAAAGAUGAAAAUAAAAUAAUUCCUGCCCUCAAGAAGCUUAUUGUAUAAAAGCAUUUUAGUGUCUCUGUCUUUCCUAAGCCUCUCCAGCCUUGACUAUUUUCGUUUUCCAUCAUUUUUGCUAAUUUAUUGAAUAUGAAGUGAAAGAAUGACUAGAACUCUAGAUGCAUAAUGAGAUAUAUAAUAAAGGUAUAUAAAAUACACAUCCUUGGAGGCAUGAUAAGGCAUUAAACUCAUUUAUACUAAGUUACUGAUGACUCAUCUUAAGCAUGGGUGCUAGAUACAUCUCUUAAUCUUUCCAUGCCUCAGUUUCUUCUUCUGUAAAAUUAUGCAGUUGGACUAAAUUGUUUCUAAUGUCCUUUAUAGCUCUUAAUAUCUGAUUCCAUGACCCUUAAAAUAGUUUUAAUUUACAUUUUAAAAUUAUUCUUUCACAUGACUAUUUAUAGCUUGCAAUUCUAUUGAGAACUGCUUGUUCAUAUCCUUUGAUGACAUCUAUUGGGGAACAGCUCUUGGUCCUACAUAUAACUUUUUCUUUCUUUCUUUCUUUCUUUCUUUCUUUCUUUCUUUCUUUCUUUCUUUCU
This is a non-coding RNA of Phascolarctos cinereus (koala), 2020 nucleotides long. The record is from RefSeq and is a predicted model, not a curated record. NCBI's taxonomy places the organism in Eukaryota, Metazoa, Chordata, Mammalia, Diprotodontia, Phascolarctidae.